RNAcentral lists this ribosomal RNA (403 nucleotides) under Actinomycetes bacterium. Its description in RNAcentral is "Actinobacteria bacterium partial 16S ribosomal RNA". It matches the Rfam family "Bacterial small subunit ribosomal RNA", at positions 355 to 776 of the family's 1533-position model. Lineage: Bacteria; Bacillati; Actinomycetota; Actinomycetes. The record is from RNAcentral.
UGGGGAAUAUUGGACAAUGGGCGCAAGCCUGAUCCAGCCAUGCCGCGUGAGUGAUGAAGGCCCUAGGGUUGUAAAGCUCUUUCACCGGUGAAGAUAAUGACGGUAACCGGAGAAGAAGCCCCGGCUAACUUCGUGCCAGCAGCCGCGGUAAUACGAAGGGGGCUAGCGUUGUUCGGAUUUACUGGGCGUAAAGCGCACGUAGGCGGACUAUUAAGUCAGGGGUGAAAUCCCGGGGCUCAACCCGGAACUGCCUUUGAUACUGGUAGUCUUGAGUUCGAGAGAGGUGAGUGGAAUUCCGAGUGUAGAGGUGAAAUUCGUAGAUAUUCGGAGGAACACCAGUGGCGAAGGCGGCUCACUGGCUCGAUACUGACGCUGAGGUGCGAAAGCGUGGGGAGCAAACAGG